RNAcentral lists this ribosomal RNA (253 nucleotides) under uncultured bacterium. Its description in RNAcentral is "partial 16S ribosomal RNA". It matches the Rfam family "Bacterial small subunit ribosomal RNA", at positions 524 to 776 of the family's 1533-position model. The record is from RNAcentral.
UACGUAGGGUGCAAGCGUUAAUCGGAAUUACUGGGCGUAAAGCGUGCGCAGGCGGUCCGUUAAGACAGAUGUGAAAUCCCCGGGCUUAACCUGGGAAUUGCAUUUGUGACUGCACGGCUAGAGUGUGUCAGAGGGGGGUAGAAUUCCACGUGUAGCAGUGAAAUGCGUAGAGAUGUGGAGGAAUACCGGUGGCGAAGGCAGCCCCCUGGGAUAACACUGACGCUCAUGCACGAAAGCGUGGGGAGCAAACAGG